GGUUGUGGCUCAGUGGUAGAGUGCUCCCCUAGCAAGUGUGAGGCCCUGGGUUCAAUCCUCAGCACCA
This 67-nucleotide transfer RNA is filed under the name Ictidomys tridecemlineatus (thirteen-lined ground squirrel). RNAcentral's name for it is "Spermophilus tridecemlineatus (thirteen-lined ground squirrel) tRNA". It matches the Rfam family "tRNA". From Rfam's summary of the family: Transfer RNA (tRNA) molecules are approximately 80 nucleotides in length. Their secondary structure includes four short double-helical elements and three loops (D, anti-codon, and T loops). Further hydrogen bonds mediate the characteristic L-shaped molecular structure. tRNAs have two regions of fundamental functional importance: the anti-codon, which is responsible for specific mRNA codon recognition, and the 3' end, to which the tRNAs corresponding amino acid is attached (by aminoacyl-tRNA synthetases). tRNAs cope with the degeneracy of the genetic code in two manners: having more than one tRNA (with a specific anti-codon) for a particular amino acid; and 'wobble' base-pairing, i.e. permitting non-standard base-pairing at the 3rd anti-codon position. Lineage: Eukaryota; Metazoa; Chordata; Mammalia; Rodentia; Sciuridae. The record is from Rfam by way of RNAcentral.